AGUGAACGCUGGCGGUAGGCCUAAUACAUGCAAGUCGAACGAAACUUCAGUAAGAGCUUGCUCUUACAGGUGGCGAGUAGCGGAUGGGUGAGGAAUACAUGGGAAUCAACUUUUUCGUGGGGGCUAACGUAGGGAAACUCACGCUAAUACAGCUUCUGAUCUACGGGAGCAAGCAGGACAUCUUCGGACCUUGCGCGAUUGUAUGAGUCGUUGUCGGAUUAGCUAGUUGGCAGGGUAAAGGCCUACCAAGGCGACGAUCCGUAGCUGAUCUGAGAGGUUGAUCGGCCACACUGGGACUGAGACACGGUCCAGACUCCUACGGGAGGCAGCAGUGGGGAAUAUUCGACAAUGGGCGCAAGCCUGAUCCAGCAAUGCCGCGUGGGUGAAGAAGGCCUUCGGGUUGUAAAGCCCUUUUGUUAGAGAAGAAAAUCAGCAAGUUAAUCCCCCGCUGUUCUGACGGUACCCAAACGGUAAGCACCGGCUAACUUCGUG
RNAcentral lists this ribosomal RNA (492 nucleotides) under uncultured bacterium. Its description in RNAcentral is "partial 16S ribosomal RNA". It matches the Rfam family "Bacterial small subunit ribosomal RNA", at positions 29 to 507 of the family's 1533-position model. The record is from RNAcentral.